AGACCCGAAACCCGGUGAUCUAGCCAUGGGCAGGUUGAAGGUUGGGUAACACUAACUGGAGGACCGAACCGACUAAUGUUGAAAAAUUAGCGGAUGACCUGUGGCUGGGGGUGAAAGGCCAAUCAAACCGGGAGAUAGCUGGUUCUCCCCGAAAGCUAUUUAGGUAGCGCCUCGUGAAUUCAUCUCCGGGGGUAGAGCACUGUUUCGGCUAGGGGGCCAUCCCGGCUUACCAACCCGAUGCAAACUGCGAAUACCGGAGAAUGUUAUCACGGGAGACACACGGCGGGUGCUAACGUCCGUCGUGAAGAGGGAAACAACCCAGACCGCCAGCUAAGGUCCCAAAGUCAUGGUUAAGUGGGAAACGAUGUGGGAAGGCCCAGACAGCCAGGAUGUUGGCUUAGAAGCAGCCAUCAUUUAAAGAAAGCGUAAUAGCUCACUGGUCGAGUCGGCCUGCGCGGAAGAUGUAACGGGGCUAAACCAUGCACCGAAGCUGCGGCAGCGAACGUAUCACCCAAGACAACUUUACGGAGUUGACGAUUGACGGAGCGAAGCGACGUCAAAGCGUUCAUUAAAGUCGAGUUGGCUUAGGGAUACGUUCGUUGGGUAGGGGAGCGUUCUGUAAGCCUGUGAAG
This 632-nucleotide ribosomal RNA is filed under the name Salmonella enterica. RNAcentral's name for it is "partial 23S ribosomal RNA". It matches the Rfam family "Bacterial large subunit ribosomal RNA", at positions 711 to 1255 of the family's 2925-position model. The record is from RNAcentral. Lineage: Bacteria; Pseudomonadati; Pseudomonadota; Gammaproteobacteria; Enterobacterales; Enterobacteriaceae. RNAcentral also lists the same sequence under 2 other names.